Molecule: ribosomal RNA, 1662 nt
Filed under: Triticum aestivum (bread wheat)
Lineage: Eukaryota; Viridiplantae; Streptophyta; Magnoliopsida; Poales; Poaceae
Description: partial small subunit ribosomal RNA
Source: RNAcentral
AUGGCAGGCGAGGACACCGACCCCAAGUCCAGCGCUUCUGCUGCUGCUGUGCCGUACGUGUUCUUCUCCUUUCUGUUAGAAGUCCUGUUACAGUUCUUGGCUCUAGUUUCUGCUCUACGUAUGUUAGGCUCUAUGUCGUAUAAGCAACUUCAUCUAGUGACUGUUCUACAUGUGUUUACCUCAAGUUCAUAUAUGCGGACGAUGUUUACCUUCUCUCUGUCAGAUUGCAUGAAUUGCUAUAUAUUUGCUAUUUUAGUCAUGUUUUAUCUACUAUUUCUGUUAAUAAAAUCAUUUGAUAAAUUGCUCAUAUUUCCAACAAUCCAAAAACCUUAUUAUAGGCAAUUUACCCCAAGUGGUUUUGCUGCUUCCAUGAGACCUCCUAUGUUUGAGGGUAUCCACUAUAAGAGGUGGCGCGUGAGAGUAGUCUUAUGGUUUCAAACCAUGAGUUGCUAUGACGCCACUCUUGGCAAACCUGAAGGAGAGCAAGAUGCCCAACAGGCACAAGCUUUUCAGAAAAUGGAUACCUUGUUUAAGGCUGCGCUCUUGAGUGUUCUUGGAGAGAACAUAGUUGAUGCUUAUGCGUCAAUUGACAAUGGAAAAGAUAUGUGGGACGCACUCGAGGCCAAGUUUGGGGUCUCGGAUGCCGGCACUGAGCUGUACAUCAUGGAGCAAUUCUAUGAUUACAGGAUGACUAAAGAGCGCUCCGUGGUUGAUCAGGCUCAUGAUAUACAGUCAUUUGCUAGAGAACUUGAGCACUUCAAUUGCAUGCUACCCGACAAGUUUGAUGCCGGGGGUAUCAUCACUAAGCUUCCUCCUUCAUGGAGGAACUUUGCUACCUUACUGAAACAUAAGAGACAGGAGUUUUCCGUUCCGGAUCUCAUUGGUACUCUUGAUGUGGAAGAAAAGGCGAGAGCAAAGGACACACGUGCUCGAGGUAUUGAGGGAGGAUCUAGUGCCAAUGUGGUACAGAAGCAGAACUUCCAGCCCCACAAGUUCAAGAACAAGGGCAAGUUUGAUGGUAAAGCAAAGUUUGAUGGGAAGAACAAGGCUGUGCAACACACGAACUUCAAAAAGAAGAAUGGCAAGAAGAAAGGUGCUUGUCAUGUGUGUGGAGAUCCUGAUCAUUGGGCUCCUAGUUGCCCUAAUCGCUAUGACAAGCGUCAUCCUGGGAAAGGCGGCAAGACCGCUAAUGUUGUCAUUGGAGGCACUGACAUGAAGGAUGUUGGGUAUGGUAUAUUUCCCACUAUUCUUUCAGUAUGUCAUUCUCCUGACUGGUUGAUUGACACGGGUGCUAAUGUGCAUGUAUGCGGUGAUAUUUCCAUGUUUUCGUCUUAUCAGACCGCAGGGACUUCAACCGUGCUGAUGGGCAACGGUUCAAGUGCUUCUGUUCAUGGUGUUGGCAUGGUCGAUCUGAAGUUUACUUCGGGGAAGAUCGUGCGGCUGAAGAACGUGCAUUAUGUCCCCUCCGUCAAUAAAAAUCUUGUUAGCGGGUCUCUUCUGUGUAGAGAUGGCUAUAAGCUUGUCUUUGAGUCAAAUAAAUUUGUAAUAUCCAAAUAUGGAACCUUUGAUGGUAAAGGCUAUGAGUCAGGAGGCCUGUUUCGUUUAUCCUUAUCAGACGUUUGCAAUAAAGUUGCUAAUCAUAUUUGCAACAAUAGUGAAUGA